AUUUUGGAAAUCGAACAGACUUCUGGAAGGGGUUCCGUUCGACUUCCAUGGUAUGACUGUAUUUACUUCAUAUGGAUCCCUCACUGUUGGUGCAGAUGGUGAGACGCAAUAAUUUCAAUGAGGUGAGAGAAAUGAAAGGAACAGACAUGGGUAUUAAUUUUGUCUCUGACACUCUAGUUAUAAAGCAACAAUUAAGAGUUCAGAAAGCUGCUAAUCUCUCUUUCUAUUAUCUGUUUUAUGUGUCCAGAGCCAACAAGGAAGGAACAAAACAGCAUGUUUUACCAGAUGGGCACUAUCCUCAAGAAAGGAGGAAUCAUUUCUGUACUAAAAGGAAAGAUUAAUACAAAUAAUAACAAGAAUAGAAGACUAACUGUAAACAAUGAAGAACAGAACCAAGGCUACUUCAAUAUCAAAUUGGUGCCGCUAUUGCUCAAAUGAAUGUCUCUCUCUGGGAAUUUUCAUAGCAAAUAUUAUCUUUAGUCUUCUCUGGAUGUGCAAAUAUUUGAUUUCUAGCAACAAUAUUUGGCAUCCAAAGUUUCUGUAAUACAAUCAACAUUUGACAGUGCUAAUCUGCAGUAUACAGUGGUACCUUGGUUUAAGAAAAGUCCGGUUUAAGAACGAUUCGGUUUACAAACUCCGCAAAACCGGAAAUAGUGUCCUGGUUUGAGAACUUUACCUCGGUCUAAGAACGGAAUCCGAAUGGUGGAAGGACGCCGGUGGUGGGAGACCUCAUUAGGGAAAACACACCUUGGUUUAAGAACGGUCUUCUGGAACAGAUUAAGUUUGUAAAACAAGGUACCACUGUAAUUCAAUGCAUUUAUAUUGUAUGACAAAUCUGAAUAGGCACCCUUUGACUUUUCA
Non-coding RNA from Podarcis lilfordi (Lilford's wall lizard), 861 nucleotides. The record is from the annotation of a GenBank genome assembly. NCBI's taxonomy places the organism in Eukaryota, Metazoa, Chordata, Lepidosauria, Squamata, Lacertidae.